UUUCUCGAAAUGGGCGGUGCAUUCAUCACAACACAUGAGCUUCUCACCAUCCUUGGAGCUAAAAACCUCUGAACCAAGAAGUUGAAGUGGAUACUCCCUGACUUUAGUAGACCUUGAGUCUGGGCCACUGCAGAACAAGGAAACAAGAGCUGGAGCACAGGAAAGCAUCGUAGCAUUGAGAAAGACAUGAGGCUUUGUGUUGGUGGUCUCACCUGGGAGCUUGGAGGCUCAAUGCAAGCCCACCUGAUGGAACCACCACAGCUUGAAGGGCCCACUGCUUCUCAAGAGAUGGCUGCCUCAUCUGGCACCUCAGGCAUAUGCUUUCAGAAAGGCAGCAACAGGAGGACCCACCACCCUUCCCUCCUUUUAACGUAUAAACUCUUUUGAGUGACAGACGAAGGAAUGGAAAUGAGAGAAAGCAGAGAAGAGGAGGAAGAAAAUGAGAAGAAAGAAUGGAAGAUGUGAUCAAAGCAGCAGAGCAUACACAACUUUUAUGCAAGCAUCGUCUCACUUUUUCUUUUUAUCUUUGGUGCAAGCUACAGUGUGAUAUCUCCUCGUCUCAAAAGAAAGGAAAAGGAAGAGAUCCCCUUGCAGCAAUCCUCAUGAAUCAGUGUUAAUGGUCCUUGGAUUCAAGUACCCAAAAAGCACGAGUUCAUGUCUGCAACUCUUGCAUGGCAUCAGCACAAGCCCUUCCUGUGACCUCUAAAAAGUUCAUGUGAUCUCCAAAGAAUAACAAGUGCUUCAUGUUCCCUUCUUCUGCUGCUGCUGCUGUUUUAAUCAUGCAUCAAUUCCCCAAAUCAUA
Musa acuminata AAA Group (dessert banana) is the source of this 802-nucleotide long non-coding RNA. RefSeq lists it as uncharacterized. NCBI's taxonomy places the organism in Eukaryota, Viridiplantae, Streptophyta, Magnoliopsida, Zingiberales, Musaceae. The transcript is spliced from 3 exons. The record is from RefSeq and is a predicted model, not a curated record.